GCGAGCGUGCUGGAAUCGGCAGACAGGCAUGUUUGAGGGGCAUGUGUAUGUAUGUACGUAUGGGUUCAAGUCCCAUCGCUCGCACCA
Molecule: transfer RNA, 87 nt
Filed under: Peptostreptococcaceae bacterium
Lineage: Bacteria; Bacillati; Bacillota; Clostridia; Peptostreptococcales; Peptostreptococcaceae
Also listed under: 1 other name
Description: tRNA-Leu
Rfam family: tRNA
About the family: Transfer RNA (tRNA) molecules are approximately 80 nucleotides in length. Their secondary structure includes four short double-helical elements and three loops (D, anti-codon, and T loops).
Source: RNAcentral